This 885-nucleotide long non-coding RNA is filed under the name Gallus gallus (chicken). RNAcentral describes it as "lncRNA (ENSGALG00010022273.1)". Lineage: Eukaryota; Metazoa; Chordata; Aves; Galliformes; Phasianidae. The record is from RNAcentral.
UGCACCUUCAUGCUAAGUUAGUUUGAAUAGAUGAAGUAAAUGAAUGAGAUGAAAGCUUAGGUUUUUUUAUUACCACUCCAUUCCCAACCCACAGCUGCCAAUAGAGUCUCCAGAAGCACCGCUGGUCUGCAUGGACUUUUUACAUGUUUAGAAACAAACCUUCUGCGCCUUCUGGUUCACAUGUUGAGAUGAAUGGUCUGUUUGACGAAGUGUCUGUCAUUACUUAACAAAUUCUACAAUGUGUUUUCUGGAGGGUGAGGGGAGGUGCCUCCUGGGUUAGGUACCAUUGGACACAGUCUGUAGAAUUAACCAUGGGGAAUCCGGAAUUCAUGUGAGCCCCAGGUACCUGGCACUGAGCUGGGGAGGUAUUCUGAAGUGAAGCUGGGGAAGCUGUGCGAUGCCACAGGGAACAGAGUCUGGGAAAAGCUGCAGAUUUAAAUGUUCUCACUGUUUCACCAACUUAUUAAUUCUUUUGUUCUAUAUCCAUGUCUACGUGGCUGUUAGAAGCAGACCUCUUUCAUCAAGCACAGCUCACACGAUGCACUGCAGCCGUCGCAGUGAGUCCGGGUCGGUUUGGCCCCUGGGCUGUCAGCAGCAACACCUCAGCAGGGUCAGCACCCUCCCAGCGCUGCCCAGCAGCAGCCCUUUGCUCGAAGGGACCUCGAGUGCAUGAUGGCAAUUUGUCCUCCACUGCAAAACACCGAAGCCAGAAAAUCAAGCCUUUGCAUGCCAAGAGCUGGAUGCCAAAAGCUGGCAGGGGAACAGCUCAGAAGAACCCAGGAAUGAAAGAGGACACGGGAAGGAUGCCAGAGCCUAAAGAAGUGAGAUAGAGGAACCGUCGGGAUGGCGACUGAGAAAGAACUGCCACUCCCAGCACUGCUUCCC